RNAcentral lists this ribosomal RNA (376 nucleotides) under uncultured bacterium. RNAcentral describes it as "bacterial SSU rRNA". It matches the Rfam family "Bacterial small subunit ribosomal RNA", at positions 524 to 898 of the family's 1533-position model. The record is from RNAcentral.
UACGUAGGUGGCGAGCGUUAUCCGGAAUUACUGGGCGUAAAGGGCACGCAGGCGGCCUAUCAAGUCUGACGUGAAAGCUCCUGGCUUAACUGGGAGAGGUCGUUGGAAACUGAGAGGCUUGAGGCGAUGAGAGGGGUGCGGAAUUCCCGGUGUAGUGGUGGAAUGCGUAGAUAUCGGGAGGAACACCAGUGGCGAAAGCGGCGCCCUAGCAUCGGCCUGACGCUCAUGUGCGAAAGCGUGGGGAGCGAACGGGAUUAGAUACCCCGGUAGUCCACGCUGUAAACGAUGAGCACUAGGUGUAGGCGGUGUCAAAGCUGUCUGUGCCGAAGCAAACGCGAUAAGUGCUCCGCCUGGGGAGUACGGCCGCAAGGCUAAA